Molecule: ribosomal RNA, 447 nt
Filed under: uncultured bacterium
Lineage: Bacteria
Description: partial 16S ribosomal RNA
Rfam family: Bacterial small subunit ribosomal RNA
Source: RNAcentral
AACGAACGCUGGCGGCAGGCCUAAAACAUGCAAGUCGAACGCCCCGCAAGGGGAGUGGCGCACGGGUGAGUAACGCGUGGGAACGUGCCCUUCAGUACGGAACAACGUCGGGAAACUGACGCUAAUACCGUAUAAUAUCUCCGGAUCAAAGAUUUAUCGCUGAAGGAGCGGCCCGCGUCUGAUUAGCUAGUUGGUGAGGUAAAGGCUCACCAAGGCUACGAUCAGUAGCAGGUCUGAGAGGAUGAUCUGCCACACUGGGACUGAGACACGGCCCAGACUCCUACGGGAGGCAGCAGUUAGGAAUAUUGGACAAUGGGCGAAAGCCUGAUCCAGCCAUGCCGCGUGUGUGACGAAGGCCUUAGGGUUGUAAAGCACUUUCGUUGGGGAUGAUAAUGACCGUACCCAAAGAAGAAGCCACGGCUAAAUUCGUGCCAGCCGCCGCGGUAA